Non-coding RNA from Ceratotherium simum simum (southern white rhinoceros), 1242 nucleotides. NCBI's taxonomy places the organism in Eukaryota, Metazoa, Chordata, Mammalia, Perissodactyla, Rhinocerotidae. The record is from RefSeq and is a predicted model, not a curated record.
AAAGUCUCCACCACCAUCCGGAACUCAGAUUCUCCUCAGACUCCGAGAAUGCGGGUCAGGGCGCCUGGAACCUUCCUUCUGCUGGUCUCGGGGGCCCUGACCCUGACCGAGACCUGGGCGGGCCCCCACUCCCUGAGCUAUUUCCACACCGCCGUGUCCCGGCCCGGCCGCGGGGAGCCCCGCUUCAUCGCCGUCGGCUACGUGGACGACACGCAGUUCGUGCGGUUCGACAGCGACGCCGCGAGUCCGGGGAUGGAGCCGCGGGCGCCGUGGAUGGAGCAGGAGGGGCCGGAGUAUUGGGAGGAAGAGACGCGGCGCGUCAGGGGCUACGCACAGAGUUUCCGAGUGGGCCUGAACACCCUGCGCGGCUACUACAACCAGAGCGAGGCCGGGUCUCACACCCUCCAGUGGAUGUCUGGCUGCGACAUGGGGCCGGCCGGGCGCCUCCUCCGCGGGUAUGAACAGUUCGCCUACGACGGAGCCGAUUACCUCGCCCUGAACGAGGACCUGCGCUCCUGGACCGCGGCGGACACGGCGGCUCAGAUCACCCGGCGCAAGUGGGAGGCGGCCGGUGAGGCGGAGGACUAGAGGAGCUACCUGGAGGGCGAGUGCGUGGAGGAGCUCCGCAGAUACCUGGAGAACGGGAAGGAGACGCUGCAGCGGGCAGAUACGAGGGAACCCCCAAAGAGUCACGUGACCCACCACUCCAUAUCUGACCAUGAGGUCACCUUGAGGUGCUGGGCCCUGGGCUUCUACCCUGCAGAGAUCACCCUGACCUGGCAGCGUGAUGGGGAGGACCUGACCCAGGACAUGGAGUUUGUGGAGAGCAGGCCUGCGGGGGACAGGACCUUCCAGAAGUGGGCAGCUGUGGUGGUACCUUCUGGAGAGGAGCAGAGAUACACGUGCCAUGUGCAGCACAAGGGGCUGCCUGAGCCGCUCACCCUGAGCUGGGAGCCGCCUCCUCAGUCUACCAUCCCCACCGUGGGCAUCAUUGUUGGCCUGGUUCUCCUUGGGGCUGUGGUCACUGGAGCUGUGGUGGCUGGAACUGUGAUGUGGAGGAAGAAGUGCCCAGGUGAAAAAAGAGGGAGUUAUGCUCAGGCUACAAGCAGCGACAGUGCCCAGGGCUCUGAUGCAUCUCUCGUGGAUCCUAAAGGUGAGACAAUGGAGGCCCAAAGUGGGAGGGGUGUUGAGGAGAGGGGACAUGACUGGAUUAUGGAAAUUCUUUGAUUGGGACAUGUUGAG